This 481-nucleotide ribosomal RNA is filed under the name uncultured bacterium. RNAcentral describes it as "partial 16S ribosomal RNA". It matches the Rfam family "Bacterial small subunit ribosomal RNA", at positions 28 to 507 of the family's 1533-position model. The record is from RNAcentral.
GAUGAACGCUGGCGGCGUGCUUAACACAUGCAAGUCGAACGAAGCAUUUAGGACAGAUUACUUCGGUUUGAAGUUCUUUAUGACUGAGUGGCGGACGGGUGAGUAACGCGUGGGUAACCUGCCUUGUACUGGGGGAUAGCAGCUGGAAACGGCUGGUAAUACCGCAUAAGCGCACAAUGUUGCAUGACAUGGUGUGAAAAACUCCGGUGGUAUAAGAUGGACCCGCGUCUGAUUAGCUAGUUGGUGAGAUAACAGCCCACCAAGGCGACGAUCAGUAGCCGACCUGAGAGGGUGACCGGCCACAUUGGGACUGGGACACGGCCCAGACUCCUACGGGAGGCAGCAGUGGGGAAUAUUGCGCAAUGGAGGAAACUCUGAUGCAGCGACGCCGCGUGAGUGAAGAAGUAAUUCGUUAUGUAAAGCUCUAUCAGCAGGGAAGAUAGUGACGGUACCUGACUAAGAAGCUCCGGCUAAAUACGUG